Long non-coding RNA from Sciurus carolinensis (gray squirrel), 4611 nucleotides. RefSeq lists it as uncharacterized. Lineage: Eukaryota; Metazoa; Chordata; Mammalia; Rodentia; Sciuridae. The transcript is spliced from 6 exons. The record is from RefSeq and is a predicted model, not a curated record.
GGGGUUACCGCGCGGCGGGGUUGGGGGAGGGGCGCGGGGCACCCGGCGGGCGGGGCCGCCUUCCUCAGGUGGGGUUCGCGGAGGCUCGGCUCCUUCUGACCGCGAGCGGACCCCAAGCCAGGAGAGCAAAUGCUAACAGACGUUUCAAAUUUUUGCACAACCGGUGACUUCAAUGGGACCUCGUCUGGGCGGGGAGACAAAAGGUAAGGAAAUUGGGGCUCAGAAAAGAUACGUGACUUUUCCCUGGGUGCAACUCUGGACAACUUCAGAGACUCACCUCUUUCCUGAUUGCCAGCCUGAGAAGUUGAGAUAACUGUGUCAUCCUGGAUUGUGGACUGUAGGAGUAAGGCAAGGGGUAGAGAGAGAUCCCUUCUGUGGUACAGAUGUACCAAGAGUAGCUGAGAGCUGAGUAUGGAACAGGAGCCCUGAGAAAAACCUCCAGUUAUCCAAGGAACCACUCUCAACACAACAUGGCAUAUUCUACCACUGGAGGAAUCAGAGGUGUUUGUGUGGAAUUUUUCUGCCGUGUUUCUCCUUCCCUUUGUAUUGCCUGUCUCUGUGAAGACACCGCAUUGCUGCUGCUGCUGCCAGGAGAUGGAGCAUACAGUCUGAGGAACAACUGCAAAGCAUAGGAAUAAUGUUCUAACUAAUGGACUGGGAAAUAGGCUCCAAAAGAAGAUUGUCUCAUUAAAGUCAUUCCCUUGAGAGGACACUCAACAUUUCCAAAAAUGCUGCCUUUUCUUGAAGCAUUUUCGAAUUUAUAUUUGGUUUUACUGUGAACUCUUUCAGAGCAGAAAGAAGACUCAUUUCAUGUAUGGUGUGUGAUUGAUGUUUAUAGAAUAAAUAAAUGAACCCAGAUGCUGAAACAGAAAUCUAUAGAAAAUACAAUGGGAGCCGGGAGCACACAUUAUGAGACAUAUGUAUUUAUUUUCACCAAUUUAAUUUUUAACAUAUUGGUGCACUGUCAACAUCAUAUUGGUGAAAAAAUGCAUGUUUCUGGGAUGUUUGGAUUUUUAGAGGUUUAACACCCAAAUUUAACAAAAUCAUGAUCCAAAUUAGCAAUGUUUGGAGUUCAACUUGAGGCAUGGCUGUAUAGUAAUAAAACUGCAUUGCUUGCAAACAAGUUCUGAUGAAAACCAGAACAAAAGCUGGAAGAAAAGUAAGUGGGGUUUAAUGAAUAGUGAUGCUAUCCUCAAAUCUGAAGGGUGCUGGGUGUACUGUAGGAGGAGAUAACUAUAUAAAACCAUAACUACUUUCUAAGAAAAGCAGAUUGUAUUAGAGGCAUAAUUUCUUCUGAGAACAAAAGCACCAUCCCAGGGUUACUCAUACAAUGGGGGAUCAUGAAUAAACAAAAAUAUCCUAGAAGUGAAUUUAAGGAUUGUGGCAGGAGAGCACUGCAUUACUGUUCUUGGUGGGCAAAGAAUUCAGGGUUCCUAGGAGCCAUCCAGGAGGCCCAUUGGAAAGGAGGAGGACUACAGGACGGGAGUUCUUAGUAGUAUUAGGUUAAGCUAAAAAGUCACCCCAGUUGACAUAUUGGCUUCAUGUACAAGACAGAGAAAGAUAUAAAGUCUGAACAUUCAGUUUUGAUUAUACAAAAGUGGUCCUGAAGCUUCCCCCUCCACCACCAGAAUUUCCUCCUUUUCUUUCUUCCUUUGCUUGAAGAAAAAUUUCCCACCCAGCUGCUGCCACCCCUAUAGAUUGCUCAUAAUGUGUCCUCAGCUCCCAUUGUAUUUUCUAGAGAUUUCAAUUUUAGCAUCUGAAAAAAAAAUUUAGAGAAUGUAUGUGUUCAGAUAUACACCUUUCUGCUCCUUUAGACUCUGAGCCUCUUAAAGUGAGGGAAUAAGUCUUAUUUAUUUGUUUGCCUGAACCUGUUAUUCUUUUUCAGAUAUCCAGUUUAUUGAAUACACGAAUUAAUUAGUGAUUGAAUGUGUGCAUACAUAAUAUAUGAGAAUGAGUAUCUAUGUUCCUAGAAUGUAUAACCUAAACACUGGAAACUUUAACAGUGCAAGUGAGGGCCUAAAUUCAACUAAACCCUUUCAAAUGUCAAAAGAAAUUUUGCUUGCCUCCUGUCUUAGAGACUAUUUUUCUUUGCUUAUUUUAGUCAUAUUUCAACUCCAUCAUUUUCAUCUAGAAUCUCUGUAAACCACCAUGAUUGCCACCUCUCCCUCUUUCCCUGCAAAAUGCCUUUCUCUGAGAAACAAAAGAGGAAAUAAGUAAAAUUGCUUUGCAUGCCUUAAUGAAUUUUUACAAUGAAAGAAUAUCCUGGAGACAUUUCCCUUUAUACUCAGCAGAACUACUUUGCAGUCUAUGUAGCCCACCAUCUAAUUACAAGUUGGAAUAUUGUUAAGAAUAGAGCAAGAUUCAAAGAGCCAAUUACAUCGCCAAUCAGAGUUACGGCAACAUGCUCAGCAGCUGGUGAGAGUAGAGAGGAAGUCACUAAACCAGAAGAUCUCAUCAGUCUGUGGAUCACAUGAGGGGUGACACACAUAGUUCUCCUAUUGUUCUUCUCAUACAGCCACCAUAUCACCCAAAUGGAGACAAGGUUCCCUUUAAAGAGAUCAAGUAAGGUUGGUAACAGGAGCCCAUGUAUAAACCUGGACCCUGGGGAGGGAUUAUUGAGGGAAAACUAGAAGCAUCAAUUUGCUCUGUUCUGGUCUUCUUCCGAGACCUGUUUUGAGAGCUGGCCAGCAUGAGUCAACUAUUGUUGCUCAGCGGUCAAAUAGAAUACAAUCCAUUACUGGAGAAAAAGCAGUUCAUGUGGGAGAGAAUCUGGCACUCUUUUGUGGGCCUGGGAUCAUUACUGCACAGCAGAGAAUGCAGAUAAAGGAAGCCAGCUUCAAUUGCUUUUUUUUAAAAGGAGAAUAUUUGACUUGAACAAGCAGAACUGUGUACCUUCCCUUCUGUUUAUUUUGUACAAUUUGUUUCCAAGGAUCUUUGGUAUAAUUUGAUCCUGGUGAGCAAUGUAAUGUCAUGUGAACAGAAAACAAGGCUUACAUUAAAAAUCAUUUUGAAAGCUGGAAAUAAAUGUGGGCUGGAGGAAGGAAAGGAUGUGGCUUGGUGGUAAGGAGGAAAGAGGAUGUGUUAGGUGAAGGGCAUGUGACAUAUGCAGUCCUAAGAGCUGGAGGGCCCGUUGUUUGGCCUGAGAAGGCAAGGCUGUGUGAAUAAAGAACACGGCCUGCAAAGCAGCAUGGUGGGGGAGGAGUCACCAUAACCUGGGUGGAAGAUUCCUGGAGUCUGUGAAAUACAAGAUCAGAUCUAGUUAUUUUGCUUCAUUGUUUUGAUCACUGGGGUUACUGUGCACAUCUAAAAAGAGUGGCAUGACUAAAGUGACACUUCUGAUAACUUCUCAACCUUGAUCAUGUAUUGGAAUUUGGUUUUUAAGUUACAAUGUUCUGGUAUUUUAUAAAAUUUUAAAGAUAAACUUAGCAUGCCACAUACUAGAAGAAUCACCCUUGCUUUACAUUGGACUGCUUCAGUCCUAUAAUGCCCUCAACAGUGUUUCUCAACUUCUCUAACUAUAAUGACCAUCUGCAGUAUAGUCAUCUGCUGGUACAUCUGCCCCUUAAGCCAGUGAUUUUCAAACUUUAAGGUGCAUAGGAAAUUUCAGGGUAUCUUAGAAGACAAGAAAACAGACAUUUUGAUAUGUAGAACUGAGUUACAGUCUGAGAGUCAAUAUUCUAACAAGUUCUCUGGUGUGACCUUUUGUGGCCCUCUGAACAUACGAAGCAGCAAGGCCUGAUGUGGUGACUACUCAUAACCUCAUUCUCACUCUCAUUUCAAUUAUGGUGGAGUCAUUGUGUUCAGGCUUUGGGUUCAGAACACACAGGCCUCUACCUUCUGCUAACUGAUUGAAUCUGGGAAAGUUCAUUAACCUCACUGACCUAGUUUCCUUGCCUAUAAAAUGAGGAUAAAUGAGUGCUGUGGAAUUAUAAAAUAUUAAAGUGAACGAAUAGUUUAGAGCCUUGCACCUUGUGCCUAAUUAUCUCUAACUCCUAAGACUCUCUCUCUCAUUAGAACUUCCUUAAUUUUCCCCUACUCCCUCACUUCUACUGAAUCUUAUAGAAAUUCUCAGCUGACCUCUUGGCCCUUGAAUCCUCUCAACUUCCCCAAAUCAAUGCUUCUUCUGCCCAGUCUGUGUUCUCGGGCCUGUCAUGUAGACCAUGUCUUUUACCUAUUCAUUCACUAAAUAUUCACUGAACAUUUGCUAUAUGUUAGAUAUUACAAUAUGUUCUGGAAGUAUAUUCAAUAUAUUCAGUGGUGGACUGGUAAAUGUUUAACGACUGGUGUUAAAACAUAUGUAUAUGUAUAUAAAUACAUGUAUAUAUAUUUUAUGAAAAAAUAUUGAUGUGAAAAAUAUAUAAUAUAAAAUUUAUUCUUUAUUGUAAAUUCAAAAUACACAAUUUGUUCCCACAGAUUUUCUUUUGUCUUGUUUUUCGUUGUACUGGGGAUUGAACCCAGGGCCUUAUGCUUGCAAGGCAAGCACUCUACCAACUGAGCUAUAUCCCCAGCCCCUUUCUUUUGUUUUUGUUAAAUCUUUAUCUUUAGCCAAGUUGUAGUUGUUAACUAAUGAGUGAAUACAGUUUGCACAUGAUUGUUGUUUAAAUUUUUUAA